Molecule: ribosomal RNA, 609 nt
Filed under: uncultured archaeon
Lineage: Archaea
Description: bacterial SSU rRNA
Rfam family: Archaeal small subunit ribosomal RNA
Source: RNAcentral
UUAGGACCGGGAUAACCUUGGGAAACUGAGGAUAAUACUGGAUAGGCAAUUUUUCCUGUAAUGGUUUUUUGUUUAAAUGUUUUUUCGCCUAAGGAUGGGUCUGCGGCCGAUUAGGUAGUUGGUUAGGUAACGGCUUACCAAGCCGUUGAUCGGUACGGGUUGUGAGAGCAAGAGCCCGGAGAUGGAACCUGAGACAAGGUUCCAGGCCCUACGGGGUGCAGCAGGCGCGAAACCUCCGCAAUGUGAGAAAUCGCGACGGGGGGAUCCCAAGUGCCAUUCUUAACGGGAUGGCUUUUCAUUAGUGUAAAAAGCUUUUGGAAUAAGAGCUGGGCAAGACCGGUGCCAGCCGCCGCGGUAACACCGGCAGCUCUAGUGGUAGCAAUUUUUAUUGGGCCUAAAGCGUCCGUAGCCGGUUUAAUAAGUCUCUGGUGAAAUCCUGUAGCUUAACUGUGGGAAUUGCUGGAGAUACUAUUAGACUUGAGACCGGGAAAGGUUAGAGGUACUCCCAGGGUAGAGGUGAAAUUCUGUAAUCCUGGGAGGACCGCCUGUUGCGAAGGCGUCUAACUGGAACGGUUCUGACGGUGAGGGACGAAAGUUAGGGGCGCGAAC